Non-coding RNA from Gossypium raimondii (Peruvian cotton), 125 nucleotides. The record is from Rfam. Lineage: Eukaryota; Viridiplantae; Streptophyta; Magnoliopsida; Malvales; Malvaceae.
UGUUAAAAAAAUUAUCUAUUUCUAUUAUUAAAAACUGGCGUGACUAAUGAAAUAAUCAAACAUUUACACGUAAUAUGUCACGUGUACCUCACACGUAAUAGUAGAAAUGAAUGAAAUUUUUAAUA